CUGUCUCAUUUACCAUCAUAUGAUUCUUACGGCUUGCGUUCAUACAAAAGAACAUGUGGAAUUCCCAAAUUUGUGGUUCGUGACUGCCCUUGUUUUCUUUUAUAUUUUUCUUUUUUUUCUUGACCUUAGUCGUAUCAUUCAGGGUACCUGCUAUUGAGAGUUCCAGAUUUCCUGCAUGAAUUUAAUUCAAGCUCAUGCAUGGGGAAUGGAAAUUGCGUGUACACAUAUACGCGUGUGUCUAUGGAGCUUACAGGAUGAAACUGCACACACUCUCAGUGUUAAUUAUUAGAGAGUUAUAUAUAUGCUAACCAGCCCAUUCCGCACAAAAUAUCAUGUACUCCCUCCGUUUCAUAAUUCUUGCCGUUGCUUUAGUUCAUGGGACGAGGGAGUAUAUCUUAAUUGCAAUUACACAUAAUGAUGGGAGCAAUCCACUACACAUGUCAACCUUGGCUAGCUCAAGAUUUAAAUGCAAACUUAUUCGUACCAGCACACCCGCUGUAACUCGCGGGCGUUGAUCAGCUAUUGAAAAAAAUGAAUAUUACUCCACCAACUUUCGCUG
This 559-nucleotide long non-coding RNA is filed under the name Brachypodium distachyon (stiff brome). RNAcentral's name for it is "long non-coding RNA (BDIS_LNC004196)". Lineage: Eukaryota; Viridiplantae; Streptophyta; Magnoliopsida; Poales; Poaceae. The record is from RNAcentral.